This 305-nucleotide ribosomal RNA is filed under the name uncultured bacterium. RNAcentral describes it as "partial 16S ribosomal RNA". It matches the Rfam family "Bacterial small subunit ribosomal RNA", at positions 508 to 809 of the family's 1533-position model. The record is from RNAcentral.
ACAGCAGUCGCCGCGGGAAUACGUAGGUGGCGAGCGUUGUCCGGAAUCAUUGGGCGUAAAGGGAGCGCAGGCGGGCAUGUAAGUCUUUCUUAAAAGUGCGGGGCUCAACCCCGUGAUGGGAAAGAAACUAUGCGUCUUGAGUACAGGAGAGGAAAGCGGAAUUCCCAGUGUAGCGGUGAAAUGCGUAGAUAUUGGGAGGAACACCAGUGGCGAAGGCGGCUUUCUGGACUGCAACUGACGCUGAGGCUCGAAAGCCAGGGGAGCGAACGGGAUUAGAUACCCCCGUAGUCCCUGUCUCUUAUACA